GUCAACAUAGUUUAACAAAACAUUAGGUUGUGGACCUAAAAAUAGGGGUGAAACCCCCCUUGCAGACC
This 68-nucleotide transfer RNA is filed under the name Scincella huanrenensis. RNAcentral describes it as "tRNA-His". It matches the Rfam family "tRNA". Rfam says of the family: Transfer RNA (tRNA) molecules are approximately 80 nucleotides in length. Their secondary structure includes four short double-helical elements and three loops (D, anti-codon, and T loops). Lineage: Eukaryota; Metazoa; Chordata; Lepidosauria; Squamata; Scincidae. The record is from RNAcentral.